Molecule: ribosomal RNA, 407 nt
Filed under: uncultured bacterium
Lineage: Bacteria
Description: partial 16S ribosomal RNA
Rfam family: Bacterial small subunit ribosomal RNA
Source: RNAcentral
GACGAACGCUGGCGGCGUGCCUAAUACAUGCAAGUAGAACGCAGUUGCGAACGGGUGAGUAAAGCGUAGGUAACUGCCUCAUAGCGGGGGAUAACUAUUGGGAACGAUAGCUAAUACCGCAUACUGUGAGAUGGACCUGCGUUGUAUUAGCUAGUUGGGGAGGUAAAGGGUCACCAAGGCGACGAUACAUAGCGUGCCUGGGAGGGUGGUCGGCCACACUUGGACUGAGACAACGCCCAGACUCCUACGGGGUGCAGCAGGAGGGAAUCUUCGGAAAUGGACGGAAGUCUUACCGAGCAACGCCGGGUGAGUGAAGAAGGGUUUCGGAUCUUAAAGCUCUGUUGUUAGAGAAGCGGUAACUACCCAGAAAGGGACGGCUAACUACGUGCCAGCAGCCGCGGUAAUUC